RNAcentral lists this ribosomal RNA (441 nucleotides) under uncultured bacterium. RNAcentral describes it as "partial 16S ribosomal RNA". It matches the Rfam family "Bacterial small subunit ribosomal RNA", at positions 338 to 795 of the family's 1533-position model. The record is from RNAcentral.
CCUACGGGUGUCAGCAGUGGGGAAUAUUGCACAAUGGGGGAAACCCUGAUGCAGCAACGCCGCGUGAGUGAAGAAGGUUUUCGGAUUGUAAAGCUCUGUUAGCAGGGAAGAGGAAGGACGGUACCUGCAGAGGAAGACACGGCUAAGUACGUGUCAGCAGCCGCGGUCAUACGUAGGCGGCAAGAGUUGUUCGGAAUAAGUGGGCGUAACGGAUGCGGAGGCGGUUAAACAAGUUAUAUGUUAAAAAUAUAGGCUUAAUCUGAGGAAAGCAUAAAAAAUUGUGUAACUAGAGUGCAGGAGAGGUAAGUGGAAUUCCUGGUGUAGCGGUGAAAUGCGUAGAGAUUAGGAAGAACACCAGUGGCGAAGGCGACUUACUGGACUGUAACUGACGCUGAGGCAUGAGAGCAUGGGGAGCAAACAGGAUUAGAUACCCCUGUAGUC